RNAcentral lists this unclassified non-coding RNA (89 nucleotides) under Pseudomonas gessardii. Lineage: Bacteria; Pseudomonadati; Pseudomonadota; Gammaproteobacteria; Pseudomonadales; Pseudomonadaceae. The record is from RNAcentral.
UAUGGGAGCGGGCUUGCCCGCGAUAGCGGUGUGUCAGUGAAAAAUACCUCGACUGACCCAGCACUAUCGCGGGCAAGCCCGCUCCCACA